CCUACGGGUGGCAGCAGUGGGGAAUAUUGCACAAUGGGCGAAACCCUGAUGCAGCGACGCCGCGUGAAUGAGGAAGUCUUUCGGUAUGUAAAGCUCUAUCAGCGGGGAAGAAAGUGACGGUACCUGACUCAGAAGCCCCUGAUAACUACGUGCCAGCAGCCGCGGUAAUACGUAGGGGGCAAGCGUUAUCCGGAUUUACUGGGCGUAAAGGGAGCGUAGACGGCUGAUCAAGUCAGAUGUGAAAGCCCAGGGCUCAACCUUGGGACUGCUUUUGAUACUGAGUAGCUAGAGUGCAGGAGAGGGAAGUGGAAUUCCGAGUGUAGCGGUGAAAUGCGUAGAGAUCAGGAGGAACACCAGUGGCGAAGGCGGCUCACUGGACUGUAACUGACGUUGAGGUUCGAAAGCGUGGGGAGCAAACAGGAUUAGAUACCCCGGUAGUC
Molecule: ribosomal RNA, 440 nt
Filed under: uncultured bacterium
Lineage: Bacteria
Description: partial 16S ribosomal RNA
Rfam family: Bacterial small subunit ribosomal RNA
Source: RNAcentral